UCUCCAACACACCCCGCCAAAAAACGGCGCCGAUUUCCGAUCGGACCUUUUAACAACAACCGUUUGUGCGGUGUAUAUGAUUAUUUAAGUGCGGUAAUGUAAUGUAAUGUUGUACUGCAGCCUUUACCGUUCAGAUGUUAAUAACAAACACCGUCCUAUUGACGGUUAGGCGGUGUAACCUGCGACUAUGUUUCUCAACAACUCGAAAUCGUUGUCUAAUGUAACGAUUACAAUUUUUCUACCAAAAGCCGCGAACGCCGUCCGUCUGUCACGACGUCUAAUAAGCUUUCUCAGAGUCGCCGACCCAUUAGGUGACAAUGCGUCUGUCGAGAAUAUAGUCUCAAGAAACUGAUACACCCCAAUUAACAUUAUACUUACUACGCUUCUGAAACAAUAUUGCUGAAUUUCAAUACUCACGUGACAUCGUCUGUUAAUAUGUACUAUAUGAACUCUUACAUUUUACAAACAAUUUCACAUUUGUAUGCAUAAUAAUUCAGUCAGCGAACACAACCGUCGUCAUCGCAUUAUAUAGGUCGUUGCAUUGAAUACGUUCACUAAUCCAAGUCCUCCCGUCCCUACACACAGGAGUUGGAAUUUCAGUUUAUUUUUCGACUACUGACCUAGUGAACUUUAGUCCGAUAAG
Rhopalosiphum padi (bird cherry-oat aphid) is the source of this 643-nucleotide long non-coding RNA. RefSeq lists it as uncharacterized. Lineage: Eukaryota; Metazoa; Arthropoda; Insecta; Hemiptera; Aphididae. The record is from RefSeq and is a predicted model, not a curated record. The transcript has 3 exons.